RNAcentral lists this ribosomal RNA (402 nucleotides) under uncultured bacterium. RNAcentral describes it as "bacterial SSU rRNA". It matches the Rfam family "Bacterial small subunit ribosomal RNA", at positions 355 to 774 of the family's 1533-position model. The record is from RNAcentral.
UGGGGAAUAUUGGACAAUGGGGGCAACCCUGAUCCAGCCAUGCCGCGUGAGUGAUGAAGGCCUUCGGGUUGUAAAGCUCUUUUGGCGGGGACGAUGAUGACGGUACCCGCAGAAUAAGCCCCGGCUAACUUCGUGCCAGCAGCCGCGGUAAGACGAAGGGGGCAAGCGUUGUUCGGAAUUACUGGGCGUAAAGGGCGCGUAGGCGGUUUGCUUAGUCAGGUGUGAAAGCCCUGGGCUUAACCUGGGAUGUGCGCUUGAUACUGGCAGGCUUGAGUGUGGGAGAGGUUGGUGGAAUUCCCAGUGUAGAGGUGAAAUUCGUAGAUAUUGGGAAGAACACCGGUGGCGAAGGCGGCCAACUGGACCACAACUGACGUUGAGGCGCGAAAGCGUGGGGAGCAAACA